RNAcentral lists this long non-coding RNA (2554 nucleotides) under Nicotiana benthamiana. RNAcentral's name for it is "long non-coding RNA (NBEN_LNC005860)". The record is from RNAcentral. Lineage: Eukaryota; Viridiplantae; Streptophyta; Magnoliopsida; Solanales; Solanaceae.
GCAGAUCCUAUAGGCAUGAUCUAAAAGGCCAUGUUUGGAAUUAAAAUAGACUAUAUAGGCGUGAUAUGUACCCAAUUUACCCACAACAUACAACUACCCACCUUUUUCACUAAUCACCCCAUAACUGUUUACAAAUUAUUACGGCCCAAAAUGAUUGAAUUGCAAAAGAAGUGCAGAAAUGAGAAAUUACAACCAAAGGAAGUCUGAUCUUGACUUCCUCUAUAAGUUAUGUAAUGAACCACUUCAAUGCCAUAAUAUACAAGCCUUUCUCAUACCAUGGUGUGUCAAAGUUCUCUAAGGACCUCAUGAUAUCCCGGACAGUGCUCACACCCAAGUUUGCCUAACAGACAUAAAUAAGUGCAGUGUGGAAGAGCCAGCCCUUAUGUGUCCAAGUUCAGAGGGAAAUCAAGGGUCCUAAGUCAAGGCUCACUCAAGAGGGGCAAAACAUAGAUUCUAAGAAUAUAGUGGAAGUGUAGAACAUAGUUGAAAUAAGAGUUUGUUUAAAACUGGACUGGCAAUUCCAUUUUUGAAGGUAAUCAGUAGCAGAAGUGUUUGAAAUCGGUUGGGGUAAUGAACAAAAAACUCAAAGACACAAAAACAGUAGUCACAUAAAGGGAUCAGGGGGUUAUGGGAAUACAUUGUCUGUAAGCACAUGACCCAAGUCGGGGUCAAGUUUGGUCAUGGACAGCAAUAGCUAAUGUUGGCAUGAUCACAAACCAACCAGAGUAACAUAAAUACAUUGGGUGAUAUAGGGUUUGGGAUUCAUAAGUCAGCAAAUACAUAAAAAGUGACUGACAGAGUACACACAUAGGGAAGCAUUAAUUGAAAAGGGGGAGGAAACAUGUUGCAGCAUGCUAGUAAUGUAACUUGAAUGCAGAAAAUAUAAGCAUAAGUAGACAAGAAUGAGAUAAAUUGGAACAAUUAGAGAAAUAUGUUAUUGUUGAGGCUUAAAAAUUAACUAGGACAUACAAGUAGAGAAGCACAGUGUAGAAAGAUAAAGCAAGCAACAUUCCACGGUCUAGCCUUGGCUUUCCGCCGGCUAGGCAAAGCAAUAGCACAAGUAAUAGUAGAGAAAGAGAGAGUUUUUGAGUGUGAGUGUAUGUUCUGAACUCAAAUUGAUCGUGUCUUUGAAAGAAAAGAGGGUGGGUAUUUAUAUUAAAAACGAGGGAAGAAUAAGGUAACAAGUAAAGUCUUAACCCAAACAUGGAAAUAAUCACAAUCAAAAUCAACUAACACAAGUGAUUUUCCUUUAAUUAAGGAAGCACUGCUUAACAGAUACUAACAGGUUUAAUUAAGGAAAAAAAUCAGCUUGAGACGGAUUGAUUAUUUCCAUAUAAAGGGAAGUAAAAGCAUAAAAUAAAUAAUCAAGCCUAAGUACAAAAUAUGCUUAGUUUUGGGAAGCAUAAAGUAAAUAAUCAAGCCUAAGUACAAAAUAUGCUUAGUUUUGGGAAAGGAUUUAGUAAGGAAAAACACCACAGUGAUUAAAGGAGGGAAAUAAAUUAAUUUAUAUGAACGAAUACAAUUAGGGUUCAUAAGAAAACCUUUUACAAUCAGUCGCAACAUUGAGAGAGUCAGAAUCAAUCAAGAAAGGGUCAAGAUUCUGCACCUCAACAUAUAAAUCACAAGAAAUGAACAGCCAUGCAGAGUCAAACAUGUUGACAAAAAAGAAGCAACACAAACAUACAGUAGCAACAGGGUAAGCUAUAUUCAGUAGUAAAAGAGAUCUACUCGAAGCACAGUAGGGAAUAAGGUCAAGUAGUCACAUAGAAUCGAAAGUGAAGAAAAUAUAGUAACAGGUAAAGAGAGUCAGAAACAAGUAAAUAUCUCACAGUAGUCACGUUUAAGAGAUGAUAAGAAUUCAAAUUAGAUAAGUCAAAGAAGGAAAAGAGAGUCAGAAACAAAGAAUUUAAUCAAACAAGUACAUAUUUAAACAAACAGUUUCAGAACUCGGAUAACACCAAAAAGGAACUAGGAUUUUUAACAUGCUGAAUCAAGUAAAAGGAAAGCAUAAACAGGUCAUUUGAACAUAGUAAAAUCAUAAAAAAAACAUUAAAAUUUGAAGGAGAGAGCUUUUAAAAAAAAAAGUUUUAAGAAAACCUAAUCAUUGAAAAAUGAAGAGUCAUUUUGAAAGAAAGUCGAAGAACCUUCAAGAAAAAACUUAAGAAGUUUGUAGUAAGCACAAAUCUAAGAUAGAUCUGAAAGAAAAAUAAAAGGACCUUAAAGCUAGUGUUUUAGAGAACCCAGAAAAGGUGAGAGAGACCUUGAAAGUUACCCAUCUAUUCGGAAAGGUCAAGGACCUUCCUUGAACGGACAUGGAUGACCAGAGAAAGGCCAGAGAUAUAGGUUGAGCAAGGACUGGACCAGAUCUUAGGCCAUGAAAUCACGGAAACAAACACCAAGGGCUAUAUGUGGCCGCUACACAUCUCAAAUGGCCAUGAGAGGCCAUGGAUUAGGCAGGGAUUGAGGUGGAUUAGGGUGGAAUUAGAUGAUGGCGACUAGGGUUCAUGUAAGGUUGCAGAGAGAGUUGAGAGGGAAGGGAUUCAGAGGCGGUGCG